Molecule: long non-coding RNA, 2257 nt
Organism: Oncorhynchus tshawytscha (Chinook salmon)
Lineage: Eukaryota; Metazoa; Chordata; Actinopteri; Salmoniformes; Salmonidae
Source: Ensembl
UAGGAGUGUGUUUCAUCCCCUGAGACCCUCUCAGACAGUGAGGUUACAGAUCAGCCACGUGUGGUGGCCAGUGGGAGUGUGUUUCAUCCCCCUGAGACCCUCUCAGACAGUGAGGUUACAGAUCAGCCACGUGUGGAGGCCAGUAGGAGUGUGUUUCAUCCCCUGAGACCCUCUCAGACAGUGAGGUUACAGAUCAGCCACGUGUGGUGGCCAGUAGGAGUGUGUUUCACAUGUUUCCCAUGACAAUAAAGCCCCUUGGAUUGAAUUAAGAGAGAGAGAGAGAGAGACAGACACACAGAGAGAGACACAGAGAGAGACACAGAGAGAGAGAGAGAGACACAGAGAGAGAGACACACAGAGAGAGACACACAGAGAGAGACACAGAGAGAGACACAGAGAGAGAGAGAGAGAGAGAGAGAGAGAGACACAGAGAGAGAGACACAGAGAGAGACACAGAGAGAGAGACACAGAGAGAGACACAGAGAGAGAGAGAGAGAGACACACAGAGAGAGAGACACAGAGAGAGACACACAGAGAGACAGAGAGAGAGAGACACACAGAGAGAGACACACAGAGAGAGACACACAGAGAGAGACACAGAGAGAGAGAGAGAGAGAGAGAGAGAGAGAGAGAGAGAGAGAGAGAAAGAGAGGGAGAGAGAGAGAGAGAGAGAGAGAGAGAGAGAGAGAGAGGGAGAAAGAGAGGGAGAGAGAGAGAGAGAUAGGGAGAAAGAGAGGGAGAGAGAGGAAGAAAGUAUAGUGGAGUAACUUGUUAAAGGUCUGUGUGUGUCUGCACCUGUAUAACUCCUGGAACACUAACAACUGGUCCUUCCAUUAAACCAGUUGUGCUUUACAAACUAUCCCUCUGAUACACUGAGUAGGCAGCCUUUCCCUUUAACAAACUGGAACUGGUUUAUACUGUGUAACACAGUGAGGGGAAUAGACAAACACUACAGCUUGGUUGGAGGUAGAAACCAGAGCUGUGUUACCCCCUGUCUUUGACCCUGUGUGAUUAAGUCCCUGAUACAUGCAUACCAUUACUCAACCUCUAUUUCUAGUCCUUCCUCUCUCUCUCUCUCUCUCUCUCUCUCUCUCUCUCUCUCUCCUCUUUCUCUCUCUCUCUCUCUCUCCUUUCAGGCCCUCUCUGUGUGUGUUUGUGUUGGCAACAGCCUCUUAAGUGCGGUAGGUAAAAUCCCUACAUCCAACAAGCCUGCCAAGAAAGCCACACACACACACACACACGUGCGGGCACGCCAAACACACAAAGAGAGAAGGAGAGCCAAGAAAGCUUCACUCAGCUCAACCUCAGGGGGGAGAAGCUUUAGAAAACCCCAGGUCCUUUCUCCUCCCACACAAUAAGAUGUGCUGCUGUUACUGUACGUUAGUCGUUGUUAUCAUGCAGCUCUUACUAAUAUACUGUGUCUGAAAGGAGGAUCACAUUUACAUAUCUGGUUUACUUUAGGCCAGAGAAUGUUCCCACAGGAAAAACAACGCUGUUUUACAGGAGUCGGCAGCUCUUCCUCAGUUCAUGCUACUCUACUGUAAUGUUUACAUUAGUUAGUUAGUUUGUUAGUUUACACUAGAAAGGGCCGAUCUUAGAGAUGUCCUAACUUGAGGGGUCAUGACCCCACUCUCCCAUCUGGGAUACAUUCUCAAAGACUUUCUGCCUUACCCUUUCUAUCUUUCUAUUUCCCUCUCUCCUUCUCUCUCAUGAGAAUGCAGUCUCCUCUCGCUCUCUUCCAUUCACCCCUUUCUCCCUUUCUCUCAUCCUCCUUCUUUCUCCUUCUCUCUCAUCCUCCUUCUUUCCCUCUCCUUUUACCCCUUUUCGCUCCCUAUUUUUCUGUCCUCUCUACUAUUCUCAUCUCCCUCUCUGUCUCCUUCUUUCCCCUUCUCUCAGGGUAGUUCGGUCAGUCAGAGGUCUGGUUGUCAUUAGCUUCCUGUUACUGACUUAAAGAAAAACAGCCCCGACAGAGAGAGAGAGGGACGUACGGACAGACAGACAGAGAGAGAGAGAGAGAGAGAGAGAGAGGGAGGGACGGAAGGACAGAGGAUGAGAGAGAGAGGGAGAGAGAGAGCAAAAGAGGGAGGUCAGGGAGAGACAGAGAGAGACAGAGAUGGAGAGAGAGGGAGAGAGAGCAAGAGAGGGAGAGGAAGAGCAAGAGAGAGGGAGAGGAAGAGCAAGAGAGGGAGAGGAAGAGCAAGAGAGAGGGAGAGGAAGAGCAAGAGAGAGGGAGAGGAAGGAAGAGAGAGAGAGAGAG